GGUUUAAUUCGAUGAUACGCGAGGAACCUUACCCGGGCUUGAAUUGCAGAGGAAGGAUUUGGAGACAAUGACGCCCCUUCGGGGUCUCUGUGAAGGUGCUGCAUGGUUGUCGUCAGCUCGUGCCGUGAGGUGUCGGCUUAAGUGCCAUAACGAGCGCAACCCCUCUCCUUAGUUGCCAUCAGGUCAAGCUGGGCACUCUGGGGACACUGCCACCGUAAGGUGUGA
This 225-nucleotide ribosomal RNA is filed under the name uncultured bacterium. RNAcentral's name for it is "partial 16S ribosomal RNA". It matches the Rfam family "Bacterial small subunit ribosomal RNA", at positions 943 to 1167 of the family's 1533-position model. The record is from RNAcentral.